Molecule: ribosomal RNA, 253 nt
Filed under: uncultured bacterium
Lineage: Bacteria
Description: partial 16S ribosomal RNA
Rfam family: Bacterial small subunit ribosomal RNA
Source: RNAcentral
UACGUAGGAGGCGAGCGUUGUCCGGAAUUACUGGGCGUAAAGCGUGCGCAGGCGGUUCGCUAAGACAGAUGUGAAAUCCCCGGGCUUAACCUGGGAACUGCAUUUGUGACUGGCGGGCUAGAGUAUGGCAGAGGGGGGUAGAAUUCCACGUGUAGCAGUGAAAUGCGUAGAGAUGUGGAGGAAUACCAAUGGCGAAGGCAGCCCCCUGGGCCAAUACUGACGCUCAUGCACGAAAGCGUGGGGAGCAAACAGG